CCUACGGGAGGCAGCAGUGAGGAAUAUUCGGCAAUGGACGCAAGUCUGAACCAGCCAUGCCGCGUGCAGGAAGAAGGCUCUAUGAGUUGUAAACUGCGUUUGUACGAGGGUAAACGCAGAUACGUGUAUCUGUCUGAAAGUAUCGUAUGAAUCAGGAACGGCUAACUCCGUGCCAGCAGCCGCGGUAAUACGGAGGAUUCAAGCGUUAUCCGGAUUUAGUGGGUUUAAGGGGUGCGUAGGCGGUCGGAUAAGUUAGAGGUGAAAUCCCGAGGCUCAACUGCGGAAUUGCAUCUGAUACUGGUAGGCUAGAGAGUAGAUGAGGUAGGCGGAAUGUAUGGUGUAGCGGUGAAAUGCUUAGAGAUAAUACAGAACACCAGUUGCGAAGGCAGCUUACCAAGCUACAUCUGACGUUGAGGCACGAAAGCGUGGGGAGCAAACAGGAUUAGAUACCCCAGUAGUC
Molecule: ribosomal RNA, 460 nt
Filed under: uncultured bacterium
Lineage: Bacteria
Description: partial 16S ribosomal RNA
Rfam family: Bacterial small subunit ribosomal RNA
Source: RNAcentral